Molecule: unclassified non-coding RNA, 310 nt
Filed under: Mizuhopecten yessoensis (Yesso scallop)
Lineage: Eukaryota; Metazoa; Mollusca; Bivalvia; Pectinida; Pectinidae
Description: uncharacterized LOC110441307, transcript variant X1
Source: RNAcentral
AUUAUGUAAAUAUCUAAUUAGAUUUACAAAUGUUAAUUUUUGACAGUAAGCAAAAUCUUAUUAUUAUAAAUUCAAUCCAUUAUGUCCAUAUACCUACCAUCAAUGGAGAGGACUUAUAUAGGCUAUAAGCCUGUUGUCCAAUCCUUUUGACAGUGUAACAUUCUUCUAUGUCAAUAAAAUAUGUUGAAAUGAAAAAAAUUGACACACCUUCCAUUUACACCAAGGAGUCUAUGAAAGCGUACAAGUCGCUAGAUGCAUACAUGUAUGUAGUUAGUGGACAUGUGCAGGAGAUUUCCUCACACCAAGUGUU